Molecule: transfer RNA, 64 nt
Filed under: Scolytinae sp. BMNH 1274291
Lineage: Eukaryota; Metazoa; Arthropoda; Insecta; Coleoptera; Curculionidae
Description: tRNA-Pro
Source: RNAcentral
CAGAAAAUAGUUUAUGAAAAAUAUUAGUUUUGGAGACUAAAGAAGGAGGGGUCUUUUUUUCUGA